GACGAACGCUGGCGGCGUGCCUAAUACAUGCAAGUCGAACGAGAGCACCCGGUGCUUGCACUGGUCAAUCUAGUGGCGAACGGGUGAGUAACACGUGGGUAACCUGCCCAUCAGAGGGGGAUAACAUCCGGAAACGGAUGCUAAAACCGCAUAGGUCUUCGAACCGCAUGGUUUGAAGAGGAAAAGAGGCGCAAGCUUCUGCUGAUGGAUGGACCCGCGGUGCAUUAGCUAGUUGGUGAGGUAACGGCUCACCAAGGCCGUGAUGCAUAGCCGACCUGAGAGGGUGAUCGGACACAUUGGGACUGAGAAACGGCACAAACUCCUACGGGAGGCAGCAGUAGGGAAUCUUCCGAAAUGGACGAAAGUCGGACGGAGCAACGCCGCGUGAGUGAAGAAGGUGUUCGGAUCGUAAAACUCUGUUGUUAGAGAAGAACAAGUGCUAGAGUAACUGUUAGCGCCUUGACGGUAUCUAACCAGAAAGCCACGGCUAACUACGUG
This 498-nucleotide ribosomal RNA is filed under the name uncultured bacterium. RNAcentral's name for it is "partial 16S ribosomal RNA". It matches the Rfam family "Bacterial small subunit ribosomal RNA", at positions 28 to 507 of the family's 1533-position model. The record is from RNAcentral.